AGAGUUUGAUCAUGGCUCAGAACGAACGCUGGCGGCGUGGAUAAGACAUGCAAGUCGAGCGCUGAUUACAGGGUAGCAAUAUCUUGUAGUUGGAGCGGCGCAAGGGUGCGUAACACGUGGGUAAUCUGCCAUGAAGUAUGGGAUAACUCGCUGAAAGGCGAGCUAAUACCGUAUGUGAAAAUUGGAAGGCAUCUUUUGAUUUUCAAAGCUGGGGACCGUAAGGCCUGGCGCUUCAUGAUGAGCCCGCGGCCUAUCAGCUAGUUGGUGAGGUAACGGCUCACCAAGGCUAAGACGGGUAGCUGGUCUGAGAGGACGACCAGCCACACUGGAACUGAGACACGGUCCAGACACCUACGGGUGGCAGCAGUCGAGAAUUUUUCACAAUGGGGGAAACCUUGAUGGAGCGACGCCGCGUGGGGGAUGAAUGGCUUCGGCCCGUAAACCCCUGUCAUUCGCGAACAAAUUGGUUCACUUAAUACCUGAACCAUUGAUAGUAGCGGAAGAGGAAGGGACGGCUAACUCUGUGCCAGCAGCCGCGGUAAUACAGAGGUCCCAAGCGUUGUUCGGAUUCACUGGGCGUAAAGGGUGCGUAGGCGGUCGGGUAAGUCUGAUGUGAAAUCUCACAGCUUAACUGUGAAACUGCAUUGGAUACUAUUCGGCUUGAGAGUUGGAGGGGGGACUGGAAUUCUUGGUGUAGCAGUGAAAUGCGUAGAUAUCAAGAGGAACACCAGUGGCGAAGGCGAGUCCCUGGACAACUUCUGACGCUGAGGCACGAAAGCUAGGGGAGCAAACAGGAUUAGAUACCCUCGUAGUCC
This 815-nucleotide ribosomal RNA is filed under the name uncultured bacterium. Its description in RNAcentral is "bacterial SSU rRNA". It matches the Rfam family "Bacterial small subunit ribosomal RNA", at positions 8 to 796 of the family's 1533-position model. The record is from RNAcentral.